AUUUUUUUGGUUUCUAGAUUUUUCUAUUUUCUCUCUCUCGCCUACGUGCGAUUCUUCUUCAUCUCCUUCUCUAUUUUUUUGGUUAAAAAUCUCAUAUUAAUCCUUAGUUUUAGUUUUAACCUUUGUAGAUGGCCUUGCUACAGUAAUUUGAGGCCUUGUUUUAGUCUCUUUGGUUUUUUCAAUUGUGAAAUGGAGUGUUUAAGGUUAAGUGGUUGAAGGAUUGGUUAUGGUUUUGGAGAUCCAUGUGAUUGAUGAACAAAACCUAUGUUUUUUGAGUGGUUGAUUUACACUAUACUCUCUUGGAAGGUUAUUUUUCACUAGAGGAACGGGUUCAAUUCCUGAGCCCCCUAGAUUAGACAAUUUUCGGCUGAACUGGGUCAACAAUCUUGUGUUUUUUACGUUUUAUAGUUUUUUUUUUUAUUUCUUGGGCAUUUUGGUGUUUAUUAAUAAGUGUUUUCAUCAAGAAAAACCCAACACUUUUCUUAUUCUACAAGUAGAAUAUUUGAUUGUCUCUGAUGAAUGAUUUGCUACCAUUCUCUAUGUUUAGGAGUGGUGUGUUUCACCUUUUACGGCUUUAUUGUGCCAUGGUACUCCAGUGUCCAACCUAUUAUUUCUAAAAAUAGUUAUGUUGGAUGAUGUUGUUCUCUUUGAUACCUUAUUCAUCUGUUUGUCCUUCAUAUUAAGGGAGUAUCUGUGGAGUGGGUUAUGAUCUUGCCAAUUAUUACAGAACUAAGGGGUUCCACCUCUGAGUAUUCUUUCAUUUGCAAAUACAUUGUUCUAAUGAAAAAUGAAGAUUGUUCUAAUGAAAAAUGAAGAUACAUGUCCAAUUACUGUCGACUUUGCUUCCUGAACAUAUCUUAUUUUUGACCGAUUUCCUCUUCCAUUCUCUUUGGAUCUUAGCUUACAAAUUUGGGAUAUUGAUUGUUUUCCGGUUGUUAUGACUAUAGUUUGGGAAGAAAAUUCAUCCUAAGUGUGUUGUUUCUCACCUGACGAAUAAUUUCUUGUUUCUUGCUUAGUCGAUGAAUUUAUUGAGGUUUGAUUAUUACAAAUUCCUUCAUUAGUACAAAUUGAGGUUUUUUAUUACAAAAUCCAUAAAUCGUUAGAAAUUUCUAGCUACUCCUUGGUUGCUCAUUUUAGAUCAUGCUAGGUAUGGGAUCACAUAAGUGGAAACCUUAAGAAGGAUCUUCAAUAUCAGGCUCAUGUAAGUUGUGUGUUCUUCUAAUUUUCAUUCUCUUUCCCCGUCUUAGUUAUUUUAAUUUGUUAAACCUAUUCUAUUGUGCUUGCAUGAUAUAACUCUGGAUCUGUGAGGCUUAAAUUACUUAAUAAUAUGGUGUUAUAAUGCAACAAAUUGGAUAAAAAAUAGUUUAUUAAGGAAGUGAUUUUCGAUGUUUUAUCAUCAUUGUAUCAAGAGAAUUGCCAUUCACAGUUAACUAAAUAUAAGUUGGCACUAAAUGGUUGACAUGUAGGGCUUGAAACAAACUGCAAUAUGUUGAAUUCUUAGUUCUAAUGGAUCUUUUUCUUACCUCUCCUUUUUCUUAUUUGUUCAUUACCCCUUUAGAGGGGCUAAGUUAUUUAUUUUUCUUUAAUCAUAUAAAUGGAUGAGAUAAUAGAUACACAUCUUCUUGUCUGUUGCAUUUGUUGUUUUCCAGAUUGGCAAAUUAAUUAUUACUAACAUGUCCACAUGGUUCAUGACUUACAGCAUUAACUAUUUUCAAUUUAAUUCUCAACUCAUAAAAUGUUAGUCUUUUUUGGUCGAUGGUCAUUGUAUUAUGAAUACUUAGUGUCAUUGUUUUGUUCUUCAUGAGUUUACAGUUAAAUGUAUUAUGUUUUUGUAAUGAUUGAAUCAUUUUAUGGUUAGGAAUAUUGGAUACAAUUUCGUGAAAUCACAAUUGUGACUUUCUUGUUUGUGAUGCAGGAAGUUCUGAAUCAACUGAGGUCGAGAUGUCAGAUUGCAUGUUGAGAUACCAUGAGAUGGCGGAUUGGCGCAAAGAUGGAAAGUGAUUGCAACACUUUCCUUAAUUGGGGCAAUUUCGAAACGUUUUUGGUAAUUUGGUCAUAACUUUGGCUACGGUUAUCAGAAUAGCUAUUAUAAUCCCAAUUCGAAAAGCUCUUUUCAGUACACACGUUGUUGUCAAGCCAUACUCAAUGGGCAUUAAUUUCGAGGCCAAAAUUUGUUGUUCUCCCGUUCAAAUUUCAAUUUUUAGUUAUUUUUUUCAUUUAUUAUAAUAUUUCGUUUGAUUUUUUCUAGUUGAUUUCAAAUCUGAUUUGAGCCAAAUUUUUGGCAAGUUCCUUCUUUUAUUCCAUAUUUUAUUUUGGUGUGGUUUUCGGGAUUUUGCCAUUUUUGGUAAAAUUUCCAUAAUUUCAUAUUUUUUAGCUAUUUAACCCGACUUGUGAUUAAUUUUCGUAUUCUGCAUUUUAAUAAAGUUAAGUUGAAUUUCAGAAAAUUCUCUCUAUUUCUUGGGCUUUUUCCAUCGUAUUCUUCCUGUGAAUUAUCUAUUGCAACUAGCCUGCAGGAUAAUCACUAUCUCACCCGACGUCAGUUUGUAACAUGGCAGGUAAACUUUUAUGAUGCACAAUGAUGUUGUCUUCUCAGUUGAUUUUAGUAGAGACUCUGAGAUGCUUGCAUCUGGAUCACAAGAUGGAAAAAUAAAGGUUAAGCUUGCUUUCAUUUUCUGCUUUAAUGUGAUUAUUCUCAUGUUGCUUUGUCUUCUAAUUUCCCUAACAUCUAAAAAGAGUUAAAAAAAAGAAGCAUCUAGACUUAUUCAACACAAAAUAACUUAAAGAAGUUAGAGAAUAUUACUUUAUGGUGAGAUAUUAUCCUCCAAAGAAUAUUUUUGGUAUAGCCGGGGAGUAUCAUGACAUCCAUUCUAAUUUGUUGCAAGGUUUUGAAGGACCCUCUAGUGGCUUGUAUUAUACAAUUUGAAAUUCACAAUUGUAAAUCUAUUUAGUAGAUGUUGUUCUCAUCUGUUUGGUUAUAGGUUUAGCGUAUUAGGACAGGUUAAUGCUAACACCGACUGGAACAUGCUCAUUCCCAGGGUGUCAUGAGCCUUGUCUUUUCACGAGAUGGAAGUCGGUUGUUAAGUACAGCAUUUGACAGCACAGCAAGGUUUGAACUCUUAGAGAUGGCUUUUGAAUUGAGCUAUAGUAUCCCCUUAAUCUCAUGCCCUCCACCACCCAAGGAAAAAAAAAAUCAGAAAAGGAUAAGAAGGAUUGUAGAUUCUUGAAAAGGUUCUCAUGAUCCUUACUUUUCUUAUAUUAUACAGAAUUCACGGAUUAAGUCAGGCAAGAUGUUGAAGGAAUUUCAUGGCCAUAUAUCUUAUGUUAACGAUGCCAUCUUUACAAGUGAUGGCUCUCUCGUCAUCUUUGUAUCAAGUGAUUGCACAAUGAAAGUAAGUUAACCUAGCUAUCUAUUAUUAAUUGAGGCCAAAUUUUUCAAGUUUGCUAAUCAUCUACAUGCUGAAUAAAACGAAUGGCAUCUAUAGGUUUAGGAUGUGAAAACUACAGACUGUCUGCAGACCUUUAAGCUGCUACCUCUAGGGAUGGCAAUUUGAACCGUUAAAAUCGAAAAUCGCGGUUAAACGAACCGAAUGGGGUAAAAAAAACCAAACUGAUGGUGCAAUGGGGCGGAUAUGGUAUUUGAUUUUAAGAAACUGGUUCGUGGCAGUGCGAAUAUGGUAUUUAUGCCGUCGAACCGAAAUCGAAUCGAUUAUCCGCUUAAAAAAUCAUUCUUUUAUUAGGUAUGGCAAGGUUUAGUGAGGAGGAAGUUGACAAAAAGGUACAUUUUUAUUUAAAUUUUAGUUAAAACCAUUCUUGAUUAGGUAGAAUCGUUAUAUUCUCUACUUAUAUUUCUUAUUUACUAUAUAGGAAUCAAUUUUGAGUGCUGACCUAUGCUAGUAAGCGUUGUGGGAAAGAAUGAAAAUUGAAUAUGAGUUAAGGUUGAAGCUUUUGAAUUAUUAAGCACGAAUCAAGUAACUACAAUGCAUAAGAAUCAAGAAUGAAGGAAAAGUUUAAUAUUGUUAUAUUCAUAAUAUUGUUUGUUAAAUUUGUAUUUUGCAAUUGAAAUUUGGGAUAAUGUUUGCAUUUUCGUUUGGAAUAUUGUGUUUUUGUUUUCAUUGACUCUCUUUUCAUAAAUUGUUUUAUAUCAAUUUGACGAAUGGACCUAUAAAGAAUAAUUUAUUUUCGUGGUUAUUAACCGAACCGAACCGAGCCAAAUCGAGAUACGAACCGAACCAAACCGCUUUAUGUGGUUAUGGUGCGGUUAUGGUAUGGCAAAAAAUUUGACGGUUCAGUGAUGUUUUAGGCCAAACCGAAUCGAAACCGAACCGUUGCAAUCCCUAGCUACCUCCUCUUAGGGUAAUUGCCUUAUUAGCAUUCUAAGUGAUUGCAAUUUGAAUAUGUUUCCUAAAUUUUCAUUUUGUUUUCUCCAACUUUUUCAUUCUAAUUUACAUUUGAAUUUCUUAACCUAAUUGCUACUUUUGUCUAUGUUAUCUACAGGGUAGUGAUGCAUGAAGGCCUAGGCAUGGUUCAAGUUGGGUUGGCUUGAGUCCAACCUAAAACGGAAAUAGGAAUCGACUUGAUCAUUUUGGAUAAAUUUCAACCCAAAUCGACCAAAUCCAGUCCUUGAAACUGAGACAAACCAAACCAAAUCUAUUUGGAUCGAUUUGAUUCGGUUAAUCGAUUUGGCAUUUGUGUGAGUAAAAAAAUUGUCUACCUAUAUUAAGUUUAAAAAAUUCGUUUUUUUAUACAUAUAAUUUUUUUUCGUGUGUAAUGCAUAUCAAUAAUAUAUAGGGAUGGAAAAUUGGCUCGGGCUGCCCGUGGCUCGGCCUAUAAAAAGCUCCGGGCUGUGCCUUUGUAAAGGAUGCAUGUUGCCUUCGUAAAGGAAAAAAAAAAAGAGAAAAAACGAGUUGGCUCGGGUCGAGCCUCAAUUUUUUGGCCAAGCUUUUGCUUGACUCGGCUCAGGCCAAAAAAAAGCUCGAGCCGAGCUUUUGACUAUUAUUUCACUAUUUCAGCCAUCAUUUUUUACUUCUUCACUCAUAGAUGGGACCCACUUUUCUCUCUAUUGGUCAAAAAAAUAAUUCUCAUAAUCACUGCUGAACAGAUCCAUAAUGUAAAUAGUAAAGAAUCAAUUUUUUUCAAAAUAAUCAUAUACAUAAAUCCAAUAGUUACCAACGAACAAUUACACCAAAAUGAAAGCAAAGCUACACUCUAAAUUCGAAGUUUACAUCAAACACUUCAUAUUCUUCUUCUUUUUCUUUUGAUAUUUAGAGUUUUGGUAAAAAAAUAUAGACGGUAAACAAAUUAUUGAGACAAAAUCAUAUUUUGGUUUUAAUUUUUUUUACGUUUGAAAAGAUGAAUUUUAAAAUGCAAAAAUAAAAAUAAAAAAUGUAUUUGCGGGUUGGGUCGGUUAAUCAAUGAGUUGGUUACUUAAAUCGAAACCAACCCAACUCGACUUUUUAAUGGUUAAAAUUAAUCGAACCAAACCAAUUUUUUGGUUCAAACUGACCCACUCUGUUUGAUUAGAUCGGUUUGGUCGAUUUUUCGAUUUUUUUGCCCGCUCAUGCAUCUGUUAAUUCUAUUCAUCUUUUUUUCCUAAGAACACGGAUAACAUAGUUGUGUGUAACAAGACAUCAUCGAUAUACAUCCUGACACUCCAGGGGCAGGUACUCGUAAUUUACUUUUGUAUCUAGAUGCUCUUCACUUCUCAUGCUCCUCCCUCCUCUCCGAAUAUGCACCAUUUAAAAACAGAAGAAAAACUAAAACUAAAAGAGCUUCUUUUUUUGUACAAUGGCAAUAAAAAAGUAUGAAAUAUAGUAUGUGCGUGUGUUUUCAAAGUAUAUUUACAUAUUAAUUUUCGUAAAAUUUUGCACCAUUUUGCUUUCAUUAUCGUAAUUACUGCGGUACCACCACGUGAACCUAGGUUAUGCAAUAGGUCAUGUUGAGGUAAUACAUAUGAAUGAUGGUUUUUAUUUUGAAUAGAAGAAAUAAAUGAGUUUAUAUAGAAGUGGUUAAGUAGAUUUUAUAUAGGAUAUAAAUGAUAGGAGAAAUUUAAUUGAACAAGAUAGUUGAAGGAAGAAGAAAGUAAUUUUAUUAAAGUUUUAUAAAGUGGCUUUUGAUUUACAAUGUUUUGGACGCUCUUUUGAAUUUUUUGUUACAACAUUUUGAAGGUGGUAGCCCCUAUUUAUACACAUAAAAUGGUGGUGGAAACUAUUCUAGAAUAUUCUGAUUUUUUUCAUCAUUUUAUAACUUGAUUCUCAAGACAUUCUAGAAAAUUCUGAUUUUUAAAUUUUUAAUUACUAUUUUUGCUUGCUCAUUAAGAAGUUCUAGGGACUUCUAUUUUCUUGCUCCCCAAGGAAAUUCUAGUGAAUUCUACAGUAAUCUUAAAAUAUGCAACAACCAUUAAUACUCCUCAUUGGUGCAUAUUUUGAUUACUCCGAUCAUUUGUCGUAGUAACUCAAACUUUGCUCGUGGUAGCGCCUUCGUAAAUAUAUCUACCAAUUGUUCUUCAAUCUUGCAAUGUUUGAGCUCUAUCUUUUUAUUUGCUUCAGCUUCUCUAAUGAAAUGGUACUUGAUGCCAAUAUAUUUGGUUCUGCUGUGGAAUAUGGGAUUCUUGGCCAUUGCUAUUGCAGACUUACUGUCGCAAUAAAUCUCUUUAGUUUUAUCUUGUGGUUCUCCCAUGUCUUCAAGUAUGCGUCUUAGCCAUAUAGCUUGACUCCUUGCCAUUGCUGCUGCAAUAUACUCUUCUUCAGCUAAUGAUUGUGCAACUGUUGCCUGCUUCUCUGAUGCCUAAGAGAAUAUUCUAGAAUUUAGUGUGAAUGCAUAACCUGAUGUGCUCUUCAUAUCAUUUACUGAUCUUGCCCAAUCGCUAUCAGUAUACCCAAGAAGUCUUAAGUCAGGCAUAGACUGAUACCUUAUUGCAUAAUCUUUUGUUCAUUGGAGAUAUCUUAGUAUCCAUUUUACAGCUCCAUAGUGAACUUGACUUAGAUUUUGCAUAAAUCUUGAAAGUAGGCUGGUUGCAUACAUUAUGUCUGGCCUUGUAACUAUGAGAUAGAGUAAAUUUCCAAUUAAGCUUCGAAAUUGUGAAUUGUCUGAUUUUAGAGUACCGUCUUCUUUUCUAAAAGAUUUGUUGCUAUCCAAGGGUGUUGCUACUGUUUUGCAACCUUCUAUCUUGAAUUUCUUUAAUAGAGUAGUGGUAUACUUCUUCUGAGCAAUGAAGAUCCCAUCUUCUGAUUGAGCUAUCUCAAUCCUAAGAAAAUGGUGCAUUAAUCCCAGAUUAGUCAUCUCGAACGUUUUCAUCAUGUCUGCCUUGAAUUUCUCAAUCAUCUUCUCAUCGUUCCUCGUAUAGAUGAGAUCAUCAACAUAUAAAGAGAUUAUAAGUGUACUUCUUGUACCUUGAUUUUUUAUGUAUAGAGUUGGUUCACUUUGGCUCUUCCUAAAUCCUUGCCCAGUGAAGUAGUUGUCUAUUCUGUUGUACCAAUCUCGCGGAGCUUGCUUUAAUCUAUAUAGUACCUUCCUUAGUUUGAGAACUUUAUCUUCUUUACCUUGUACCGCGUACCCUUGAGGUUGCUCUAUAUAAAUUUCUUCUUCAAGAUAGCCAUUAAAAAAUGCUGAUUUAACGUCUAGCUGGUAAAUCUUCCAGUUUUUCUGUGCAACUAGUGCAAUCAACUCCAUCAUAGUGUCAAGAUGUGCAACUGGAACAAAUGUCUCAAUGUAGUUGAUGCCAAACUGUUGUAUCUUUUGGCGACUAAUCUUGCUUUAUGUUUUGGAUUGAGCCAUCAGCAUUAAGCUUCAUCUUGUAGAUCCACUUAACUCCUAAGACUUCUUUAUCUUGAGGAAGAUCUACAAGCUCCCAAGUGUUGUUUUUCUCGAUCAUUUUUAUUUUUUCAUCCAUAGCUUUUCUCUAUUCUAGCUUUUCUGACGUUGUUUCAUAGCUUUUAGGUUCAACAAUCGUCAAGGGCAGCUUUGAUAUAUUUUCGAUAAUCUUCAUGUUUUUCUUGGUGACAAUGCUGGUGAGUCAACUGGUUCUUCUAUAGUUGCUUGUUGUGGGGUCUAUGGUUGAUUUUUCUCUUCAAGUUUCAUCUUGUAGAUCCACUUAACUCCUAAGACUUCUUUAUCUUGAGGAAGAUCUACAAGCUCCCAAGUGUUGUUUUUCUCGAUCAUUUUUAUUUUUUCAUCCAUAGCUUUUCUCUAUUCUAGCUUUUCUGACGUUGUUUCAUAGCUUUUAAGUUCAACAAUCGUCAAGGACAGCUUUGAUAUAUUUUCGAUAAUCUUCGUGUUUUUCUUGGUGACAAUGCUGGUGAGUCAACUGGUUCUUCUAUAGUUGCUUGUUGUGGGGUCUAUGGUUGAGUUUUCUCUUCAACGUCACCCUCUUGUUUUUCUGGUUGUGUUAGGAUGCUGAUAGCUUUUUUCAGCUUAACCAGUCUCUAAGUUGUAGAUGGCAUCUUCAUCAAACUUAACAUCUCGACUUAUAAUUAGUUUCUUUUUUCUUAAGUUAUAUAUUCGAUAGCAUUUUGAUUGAGUAAUAUAACCUAAAAGAUUCUUUUUUCUGUUUUUUCAUAUAGCUUACCUCUUUUCUCCUAUGGAAUAUGUGUAUAGCAGAUGCAGCCAAAAACUCUGAGGUACUUUGCUGAUGGUUUUCAUCCACUUCAAGCUUCCACUUACGUUUUGUCUUGUACAACUUUAGUCAAACAUCGAUUUAGUAGGUAGACUACAGUGCUUACUAUUUCUGUCCAAAAGGUUUUUUGGAAGACCUUUCUCCAUUAGCAUAGCUCUAGCUGUCUCCAUUACUAUUCUGUUCUUUCUUUCUAACACGCCAUUUUGUUCAGACGCGUAUCCAACGGUGAGUUGAUGCUCCAUUCUUUCAUCUUCACAAAACUUGCUGAAUUCAUUUGAUGUAUAUUCUUUGCCUAUGUCGCUUCUAAUAGUUUUGAUAUGACAACUACUUUGCUUUUCAACAUUGCUUUUGAACCUUUUAAAAAUAUCAAAUACUUGGGAUUUUUUACGUAAGAAAUAUAUCCAUGUCAUUCUAGUAUAGUCAUCAAUGAAGAAAAUGAAGUACCUAUUUUGCUCAUGUGAUGGAGUACCCAUUGGACCGCAUACAUCUGUAUGUAUCAGCUCUAAUGGCUUUUUAGCUCUCCAAGAUCUUUCGAAUGAAAAUGGUUGACGAUGUUGUUUCCCGAGCAAACAUCUUUCACAAAUUGCAUCAAUCUCUUUUAUGAUUGGUAAGUCUCUCAUCAUGCUCUUUUGCUGUAGGAUCUUCAACCCGUGGAAGUGGAAAUGUCCAAAUCUUUUGUGCCACAGCCAUGACUCGUC
RNAcentral lists this long non-coding RNA (9309 nucleotides) under Olea europaea subsp. europaea. Lineage: Eukaryota; Viridiplantae; Streptophyta; Magnoliopsida; Lamiales; Oleaceae. The record is from RNAcentral.